Non-coding RNA from Serratia marcescens FGI94, 105 nucleotides. The record is from Rfam. Lineage: Bacteria; Pseudomonadati; Pseudomonadota; Gammaproteobacteria; Enterobacterales; Yersiniaceae.
GGACAGGGACAAAUCAGCCUUAGGCUGAUUUGAACAGCGCUUCAGCGCUGGCCCCGAAGGGGCGAGCCUCAUUUAUGAGGCGAGUAUUCCGGGCUUCACUACAAU